Molecule: RNA transcript, 3520 nt
Organism: Equus caballus (horse)
Lineage: Eukaryota; Metazoa; Chordata; Mammalia; Perissodactyla; Equidae
Gene: ZSCAN12
Gene name: zinc finger and SCAN domain containing 12
Source: RefSeq, a predicted model, not a curated record
CAGCGCCGGAAGUGCGCCCGCGCCGACCCGGCGAGCCGGUCUUGUUUCGGCCUUUGUGGGUCGUUCUUGUUAGGUCCUGGCUUCCGAAGGUGUUGGAGGCCUCAGCCCGGAGCCCCGGGAGGAGGGAAUCCUCUGCUGGCUCCGGGGGCCGCGGGUGAGCGAGCCUGUGCUCCGGACGCUGGGCGACGGGAUAUUAGGGCGUUCUGGCGGCCUGGGGCCCUCGGGCCGGCCCAGGCGGGAGCAGGGCGCCCUGCGGUCCUCCCCGCCCAGAUCCACCCAGGAAGAAACUUUCCACUGGAGAUCUUGCUUGAAGCACUGACACAGCUUUUGCAAGGCUAUGAUGGCAUCUACUUGGGCUAUCCAGGCCCACAGGAACCAGGAUGAACUUUUGGAAGUAAAGAUAGAGGAGGAGGAGCAGAAGGAGGAGAAUUAUAAGUAUACCACGAGACAGGAUCAGAAGCUGCAGAAGAACAACACCCAUAGCAGAGAGGUCUUUCGACAGUACUUCAGGCAGUUCUGCUACCAGGAAACAUCUGGACCCCGUGAGGCUUUGAGUCGACUCCGGGAACUUUGCCAUCAGUGGCUGAGGCCGGAGACCCACACCAAAGAGCAGAUCCUGGAGCUGCUGGUGCUGGAACAAUUCUUGACGAUCCUGCCUGAGGAGCUGCAAGCCUGGGUGCAGGAACAGCAUCCAGAGAGUGGGGAAGAGGUGGUGACUGUGCUGGAGGAUUUAGAGAGAGAGUUGGACGAGCCAGGAUAUCAGGUCUCAGACCACGCUGAGGAACAGGAAAUGUUCUUGCAGGAGAUGGCACCUCUAGGAAGAGAACAAGAACCCAGUAUGACCCUCCAGUGUGUGAAAGCCCAGCUAAAGUGUGAAUCUCCAGAACUUGAAGCCCAACAGAAGCAAGUUUCAGAUAUUGAGACUGGAAAUGAGUACAGGAAUUUAACUUUAAAGCAAGAAGUUUCUGAAGAAAUGGAACCAUAUGGGACUAUAUCUAGCAAAUUUGAAAAUGAAAUGUCCCAGUCUAUUAGAUAUGAAAAAACCUAUGAAUCUGAAGAAAAAACAGAAGAGCCUUCUGGACAUUCUAGGGAAGAUAAACAACCUAUAUGUGAUGAAAAUGGAGUAAGUUUGACUGAGAACUCAGACCUUACUGAACACCAGAGAAUUUGUCCAGGAGAAAAACCUUACGAAUGUGAUGACUGUGGAAAAGCUUUUAGUCAGCACUCACGCCUCAUAGAACAUCAGAGGAUCCAUACUGGAGACAGGCCCUACAAAUGCGAAGAAUGUGGAAAAACUUUCCGUGGGAGAACUGUGCUUAUUCGGCACAAAAUAAUACACACUGGAGAGAAACCAUAUAAAUGUAAUGAGUGUAGCAAAGCCUUUGGCCGGUGGUCAGCUCUUAAUCAACAUCAGAGGCUUCACACAGGAGAGAAACACUACCACUGUAAUGAAUGCGGCAAAGCCUUUAGCCAGAAAGCAGGCCUCUUUCACCAUCUCAAAAUCCACACAAGAGACAAACCAUAUCAUUGUACUCAGUGUAAUAAAAGUUUUAGUCGGCGUUCAAUACUUACUCAGCAUCAAGGAGUUCAUACUGGGGCAAAGCCAUAUGAGUGCAAUGAGUGUGGAAAAGCCUUUGUUUAUAACUCAUCCCUUGUUUCCCAUCAGGAGACUCACCACAAAGAAAAAUGCUAUCAGUGUAAGGAAUGUGGGAAAUCCUUCAGUCAGAGUGGCCUUAUUCAACAUCAGAGAAUCCACACUGGGGAGAAACCGUACAAGUGUGAUGUUUGUGGAAAAGCCUUUAUUCAGAGGACAAGUCUUAUGGGACAUCAGCGAAUUCACACUGGAGAGAGACCCUAUAAAUGUGACAAGUGUGGGAAGGCUUUCACUCAAAGAUCAGUCCUCACAGAACAUCAGCGAAUCCACACUGGAGAGAGGCCCUACAAGUGCGAUGAGUGUGGGAAUGCCUUCCGAGGAAUCACCAGCCUCAUUCAGCAUCAGAGAAUCCACACUGGGGAGAAACCCUACCAAUGUGAUGAAUGUGGCAAAGCCUUCAGACAGAGGAAGAAGACUAGCUACAGGGAAAUACUUCUGAAAAAUCAGUGUGAACCCCAAGCUGGAGUGAAUCUUCUCCUCAGCUCUCUCAUUCCAGAAUGGCAGUCCUCUUGCAGGAAAGCUCUCUAAUAGUGACUGAUGGUACAGGAACAGGGAUGUGCUGUGCCAAGAAUCAGGCUGGCAAAGAAAUCACAGACCUUUCUUCAAACUUUAAGUUGUUACUAUCAGGAGAUAAAGAUCUGGACCUCACAGGGCUGUCAGAAGACUCAGGAAGCUCUGCCCACAAUUUCUGAGACUAGAAAUACAGACCAAGGAGCAGAUGUUGAAGCAGGUCCUGACCCUGCCUGGAGAACUGCAGACCUAGGUAGGAUAAUAUCAUCUAGAAUGUGGAGAAGAGGCAUCGGUCAUGCUGGAGAAGUUGAAGAGACAGCUUGAAGGACACACCAUCAGAUGAUGUUACUGAGAAUGAAAAUAAGGACUUGUCUCCAACACAAAAAAACUGUGAAGAUGCGAAAUCAUGUUGGGGGAUCUCUAUAGAACUGCAUUAUCAAUGCAAUAAGUGUAGUAAAAACUUUACUUACUGGUGAGUCAUUACUCAGCAUUAGGGAGUCCACAUGGAAGAGAAUCUCUCUGAGAGCAACAAGUUUGGAAAGGCUUUUGUUUAUAACGGAUCCCUCUUUUGCCACCAGCAGAUCACCACAAGGAAAAAUGCUUAUCAGUAUAAGGAAUGUGGGAAAGCUUUCAGCUAUAGUGGCCUUUUUUGACAUCAGAGAAUCCACAUAAGCCAGAGACUGCAUAAAUGUGGUGACUGUGAGGAGGCCUUCAUUCAGCAUGGAAAUCUUGUAGAACAUUAUGUGAAGGAAAUAGGAAGGCCACCCAGAAGUCAGGACUGACUGUGCACCAGAGCAUCUACAGAGGAGAGAGAUCUUAUAAACAUGAUGAAUGUGGAAAUACUUUCCGUGGAAUCACCAGCUUUGUUCAGCAUUGGAGAAUUCACACUCAAGAGAACCCUGACAGUGUGAUGUGUAUGGAAAAUUCUUCAGAUAAGAGUUUGGAUCUUGGUAAACAUCAGCAAAUCCAUAUUAGAGAGGCUCUUAUAAAUGAGAGGAUUGUGGGAAGUUAUAUAGAUAGAGAUCAAGCCUCACCUACAGUCUCUCCACAGUAUUGGAAAAUUAAUAUAAUUAAUGUAAAUGGGCAGUUGUAUGGUGAAGAAGUAUUCUAAAUUGCCCAUUUUAGCCAGUAAAAAUAUUCAAUGAGUGUCUCAGGUCAAGAAAAGGAAAGGUCAGAAGUUUUUUCGAUUCCUAGAGGAGUCUAUAUAUGUAAGCAACCAGGACUUUUGAAAUAAACUCUUUCUCUGCACCCCUGGACUUGUGAUCCUGUCUCCUGGAUGAUUAUCUGUGUAUUGAAGAUAUGUUAUUUCCCCAUGCCUGCUCUAAUCUCAUAUCUUAAAUUCAUUCAACAAAUGUA